GCAUAUUAAUAUAUAUAUAUAUAUAUAGGUAAUCGACUGUCUCUAACACAAGUGACAAAAAGCUUGAUGCUUAUUACCUGGAUCCCAAGUUCGAAGCAUAGUUGUUUUAUAUUGACAGUUAAAUUUAUUUCUAAAAAAAAAUAAAAAGAAACAAGUAGUAUGCUACUUUUUUCUCAAAAGUACACAUAGUACUAACUGUUUACUCUUCCCAUUAUUAUCA
RNAcentral lists this long non-coding RNA (220 nucleotides) under Ananas comosus (pineapple). Its description in RNAcentral is "long non-coding RNA (ACOM_LNC014409)". Lineage: Eukaryota; Viridiplantae; Streptophyta; Magnoliopsida; Poales; Bromeliaceae. The record is from RNAcentral.